GGAUGCGAGGGAGAUCUGGGUUCAACAUCUGUCACUUCACUGAGCACCAGGGUUCAUUCAGCUGAUCUGGCUGGCUAGGCAGGUGUCGCUCUCCUCCCUCACCUUUACCUGUGUGUCACUUCUGAAGCUGCGCUCUUAGUGGAAGAGGACGACGAGCCCCAAUUGGGGAGAACCACUCCUUGGUCAAUGGUAUACAAAUGGCUGUAUUCCCCUGCUAGAACCUCCAACCAAGCUCUUAAGGAGAACAUGCACCUGGAAAUCAUCAAUAUAUGUGAGAUUUUUAAAAGUUGGCUUU
Molecule: small nuclear RNA, 295 nt
Filed under: Chinchilla lanigera (long-tailed chinchilla)
Lineage: Eukaryota; Metazoa; Chordata; Mammalia; Rodentia; Chinchillidae
Description: 7SK RNA (ENSCLAG00000021716.1)
Rfam family: 7SK RNA
About the family: 7SK was discovered as an abundant small nuclear RNA in the mid-70s but a possible function has only recently been suggested. Two independent studies have found that 7SK RNA binds the CDK9/cyclin T complex (known as elongation factor P-TEFb).
Source: Rfam by way of RNAcentral